This 252-nucleotide ribosomal RNA is filed under the name uncultured bacterium. RNAcentral's name for it is "partial 16S ribosomal RNA". It matches the Rfam family "Bacterial small subunit ribosomal RNA", at positions 524 to 776 of the family's 1533-position model. The record is from RNAcentral.
UACGAAGGGUGCAAGCGUUACUCGGAAUUACUGGGCGUAAAGCGUGCGUAGGUGGUUUGUUAAGUCUGUUGUGAAAGCCCCGGGCUCAACCUGGGAAUGGCAAUGGAUACUGGCAGGCUAGAGUGCGGUAGAGGGUAGUGGAAUUCCCGGUGUAGCGGUGAAAUGCGUAGAGAUCCGGAGGAACACCAGUGGCGAAGGCGGCUCGCUGGGCUCAACCUGACGCUGAGGCGCGACAGCGUGGGAGCAAACAGG